RNAcentral lists this ribosomal RNA (253 nucleotides) under uncultured bacterium. RNAcentral's name for it is "partial 16S ribosomal RNA". It matches the Rfam family "Bacterial small subunit ribosomal RNA", at positions 524 to 776 of the family's 1533-position model. The record is from RNAcentral.
GACAGAGGUGCCGAGCGUUAGGCGGAAUCACUGGGCUUAAAGCGUGUGUAGGCGGAUCUGUAAGUACCUUGUGAAAUCCCACGGCUCAACCGUGGAACUUCUUGGUAUACUGCGGGUCUUGAGCCACCUAGGGGCAAGUGGAACAAACGGUGGAGCGGUGAAAUGCGUAGAUAUCGUUUGGAACGCCAAUGGUGAAAACAGCUCGCUGGGGGUGCACUGACACUGAGACACGAAAGCCAGGGGAGCGAACGGG